UACGUAAGGGGCGAGCGUUGUCCGGAUUCAUUGGGCGUAAAGAGCUCGUAGGCGGCUCAGUAAGUCGGGUGUGAAACCCUCAGGCUCAACCUGGGGACGCCACUCGAUACUGCUGUGGCUAGAGUCCAGUAGGGGAGUGUGGAAUUCCCGGUGUAGCGGUGAAAUGCGCAGAUAUCGGGAGGAACACCAGCGGCGAAGGCGGCACUCUGGGCUAGUACUGACGCUGAGGAGCGAAAGCGUGGGUAGCAAACAGG
Molecule: ribosomal RNA, 254 nt
Filed under: uncultured bacterium
Lineage: Bacteria
Description: partial 16S ribosomal RNA
Rfam family: Bacterial small subunit ribosomal RNA
Source: RNAcentral